This 481-nucleotide ribosomal RNA is filed under the name uncultured bacterium. RNAcentral's name for it is "SSU rRNA". It matches the Rfam family "Bacterial small subunit ribosomal RNA", at positions 26 to 521 of the family's 1533-position model. The record is from RNAcentral.
AGAACGAACGCUGGCGGCGUGGAUAAGACAUGCAAGUCGAACGCUGACAUUUAGGUAGCAAUAUUUGAAUGUCGGAGUGGCGCAAGGGUGUGUAACACGUGGGCAAUCUGCCGUGAAGACUGGAAUAACUCGCUGAAAGGCGAGCUAAUACCGGAUGUGAACGCAAGUUCAAAGUUGGGGACCGCAAGGCCUGACGCUUUACGAUGAGCCCGCGGCCUAUCAGCUAGUUGGUGAGGUAACGGCUCACCAAGGCUAAGACGGGUAGCUGGUCUGAGAGGACGACCAGCCACACUGGAACUGAAACACGGUCCAGACUCCUACGGGAGGCAGCAGUGGGGAAUUUUGCGCAAUGGGGGAAACCCUGACGCAGCAACGCCGCGUGGAGGAUGAAGUCCCUUGGGACGUAAACUCCUUUCGAUCGGGACGAUAAUGACGGUACCGAGAGAAGAAGCCCGGCUAACUUCGCGCCAGCAGCCGCGGU